RNAcentral lists this ribosomal RNA (1220 nucleotides) under metagenome. RNAcentral's name for it is "bacterial LSU rRNA". It matches the Rfam family "Bacterial large subunit ribosomal RNA", at positions 1659 to 2925 of the family's 2925-position model. The record is from RNAcentral.
ACAGGUGGGUGGGUAGAGCAUACCUAGGGGCGCGUGAUAACUCUCUCUAAGGAACUCGGCAAAAUGGCCCUGUAACUUCGGGAUAAGGGGUGCCUGCGUGAGCAGGCCGCAGUGAAAUGGCUCUGGCGACUGUUUACCAAAAACACAGGUCUCUGCUAAGUCGUAAGACGAUGUAUAGGGGCUGACUCCUGCCCAGUGCCGGAAGGUUAAGGAAGUUGGUUAGCGCAAGCGAAGCUGGCGACCGAAGCCCCGGUGGACGGCGGCCGUAACCAUAACGGUCCUAAGGUAGCGAAAUUCCUUGUCGGGUAAGUUCCGACCCGCACGAAAGGAGUAACGAUCAGAACGCUGUCUCGGAGAGAGACACGGCGAAAUAGGAUUGUCCGUGAAGAUACGGACUACCUGCACCCGGACAGAAAGACCCUAUGAAGCUUUACUGUAACUUGGAAUUGUGUUCGGACUUUGUCUGCGCAGAAUAGGUGGGAGGCUAUGAAACGUUCCUCGCGGGGAACUGGAGCCAUCGUUGAGAUACCACUCUGGCAGAGUCUGGAUUCUAACCUACGGGGACAGUUCCAGGUGGGCAGUUUGACUGGGGCGGUCGCCUCCUAAAAUGUAACGGAGGCGCGCAAAGGUUCCCUCAGGCUGGUUGGAAAUCAGCCAUAGAGUGUAAAAGCAUAAGGGAGCUUGACUGUGAGACCUACAAGUCGAGCAGGGACGAAAGUCGGCUUUAGUGAUCCGACGGCACUGAGUGGAAGGGCCGUCGCUCAACGGAUAAAAGUUACUCUAGGAUAACAGGCUGAUCUCCCCCAAGAGUUCACAUCGACGGGGAGGUUUGGCACCUCGAUGUCGGCUCGUCGCAACCUGGGGCGGUAGUACGUCCCAAGGGUUGGGCUGUUCGCCCAUUAAAGCGGCACGUGAGCUGGGUUCAGAACGUCGUGAGACAGUUCGGUCCAUAUCUGGUGUAGGCGUAGGAGCAUUGAAAGGAUCUCUCCUUAGUACGAGAGGACCGGGAGGGACGUACCUCUGGUGUACCUGUUAUCGUGCCAACGGUAAACGCAGGGUAGCCAUGUACGGAGUGGAUAACCGCUGAAAGCAUCUAAGUGGGAAGCCCACCUUAAGAUGAGUGCUCCCUUGAGGCCACGGGAAGACGACCCGUUUGAUAGGCGCUAGGUGGAAGUGCAGUAAUGCAUGCAGCCGAGGCGUACUAAUAGGCCGAUGGCUUG